GGUGGUAAUGGCAGCGAGGAUACACCCGUACCCAUCCCGAACACGGCAGUUAAGCCCGCUUACGCCGAAGAUACCUGGCCGGAGACGGCCCGGGAAAAUAGGGAGCUGCCG
RNAcentral lists this ribosomal RNA (111 nucleotides) under Firmicutes bacterium ADurb.Bin099. The record is from RNAcentral. Lineage: Bacteria; Bacillati; Bacillota.